Molecule: ribosomal RNA, 468 nt
Filed under: uncultured bacterium
Lineage: Bacteria
Description: partial 16S ribosomal RNA
Rfam family: Bacterial small subunit ribosomal RNA
Source: RNAcentral
GACGAACGCUGGCGGCGUGCUUAACACAUGCAAGUCGAACGGAAAGGCCCUGCUUUUGUGGGGUGCUCGAGUGGCGAACGGGUGAGUAACACGUGAGUAACCUGCCCUUGACUUUGGGAUAACUUCAGGAAACUGGGGCUAAUACCGGAUAGGAGCUCCUGCUGCAUGGUGGGGGUUGGAAAGAUUCGGCGGUUGGGGAUGGUCUCGCUGCUUAUCAGCUUGUUGGUGGGGUAGUGGCUUACCAAGGCUUUGACGGGUAGCCGGCCUGAGAGGGUGACCGGCCACAUUGGGACUGAGAUACGGCCCAGACUCCUACGGGAGGCAGCAGUGGGGAAUAUUGCACAAUGGGCGGAAGCCUGAUGCAGCAACGCCGCGUGCGGGAUGCCGGCCUUCGGGUUGUAAACCGCUUUCGCCUGUGACGAAGCGUGAGUGACGGUAAUGGGUAAAGAAGCACCGGCUAACUACGUG